This 253-nucleotide ribosomal RNA is filed under the name uncultured bacterium. RNAcentral describes it as "partial 16S ribosomal RNA". It matches the Rfam family "Bacterial small subunit ribosomal RNA", at positions 524 to 776 of the family's 1533-position model. The record is from RNAcentral.
GACAGAGGUCCCGAGCGUUAGGCGGAAUCACUGGGCUUAAAGCGUGUGUAGGCGGAUUUGUAAGUACCUUGUGAAAUCCCACGGCUCAACCGUGGAACUGCUUGGUAUACUGCUUAUCUUGGGCCAUCUAGGGGCUACCGGAACAAGUGGUGGAGCGGUGAAGUGCGUAGAUAUCACUUGGAACGCCAAUGGUGAAAACAGGUAGCUGGGGAUGUGCCGACGCUGAGACACGAAAGCCAGGGGAGCGAACGGG